AACGAACGCUGGCGGCAUGCCUAACACAUGCAAGUCGAACGAGACCUUCGGGUACAGUUGCGCACUGGUGCGUCAGGCGUGGGAAUCUUCCCUUGGGUUCGGAAUAACAGUUGGCAACGACUGCCAUUACCGGAUGAUUACGUAUGUCCCAAGAUUUAUCGCCCAGGGAUUAGCCCGCGUGGGAUUUGCUAGUUGGUGAGGUAAAGGCCUACCAAGGCGACGAUCCUUAGCUGGUCUGAGAGGAUGGUCCGCCACACUGGGGGUGAGACACGGCCGAGACUCCUAGGAAAGGCAGAAGUGGGGAAUGAUGGACAAUGGGCGAAAGACUGAGGCAGCAAGGCCGCAUAAGUGAUGUAGGCGUUAGGGUAGUAGAGCUCUUUUAACCGGGAAGAUAAUGACGGUACCGAGAGAAAAAGCCACGGCUAACUCCGUG
RNAcentral lists this ribosomal RNA (433 nucleotides) under uncultured bacterium. RNAcentral describes it as "partial 16S ribosomal RNA". It matches the Rfam family "Bacterial small subunit ribosomal RNA", at positions 29 to 507 of the family's 1533-position model. The record is from RNAcentral.